CUGGUGUCAGCCGCCCUUUUAAUACCAGCACCUCGAGUGGUCAGGACGUUUAUUGGGCCUAAAGCAUCCGUAGCCGGCUCUGCAAGUCUUCGGUUAAAUCCACCUGCUCAACAGAUGGGCUGCUGGAGAUACUACAGAGCUAGGGAGUGGGAGAGGCAGACGGUAUUCAGUGGGUAGGGGUAAAAUCCUCUGAUCCAUUGAGGACCACCAGUGGCGAAGGCGGUCUGCCAGAACACGUUCGACGGUGAGGGAUGAAAGCUGGGGGAGCAAACCGGAUUAGAUACCCGGGUAGUCCCAGCUGUAAACGAUGCAAACUCGGUGAUGCAUUGGCUUAUGGCCAAUGCAGUGCCGCAGGGAAGCCGUUAGGUUUGCCGCCUGGGAAGUACGGACGCAAGUCUGAAACUUAAAGGAAUUGGCGGGGGAGCACCACAAGGGGUGAAGCCUGCGGUUCAAUUGGAGUCAACGCCAGGAAUCUUACCCGGGGAGACAGCAGAAUGAAGGUCAAGCUGAAGACUUUACCAGACAAGCU
Molecule: ribosomal RNA, 529 nt
Filed under: uncultured Nitrososphaerota archaeon
Lineage: Archaea; Thermoproteati; Nitrososphaerota
Description: bacterial SSU rRNA
Rfam family: Archaeal small subunit ribosomal RNA
Source: RNAcentral